UGCCUAAUACAUGCAGUCGAGCGGACAGAAGGGAGCUUGCUCCCGGAUGUUAGCGGCGGACGGGUGAGUAACACGUGGGUAACCUGCCUGUAAGACUGGGAUAACUCCGGGAAACCGGAGCUAAUACCGGAUAGUUCCUUGAACCGCAGGUUCAAGGAUGAAAGACGGUUUCGGCUGUCACUUACAGAUGGACCCGCGGCGCAUAGCUAGUUGGUGGGGUAAUGGCUCACCAAGGCGACGAUGCGUAGCCGACCUGAGAGGGUGAUCGGCCACACUGGGACUGAGACACGGCCCAGACUCCUACGGGAGGCAGCAGUAGGGAAUCUUCCGCAAUGGACGAAAGUCUGACGGAGCAACGCCGCGUGAGUGAUGAAGGUUUUCGGAUCGUAAAGCUCUGUUGUUAGGGAAGAACAAGUGCGAGAGUAACUGCUCGCACCUUGACGGUACCUAACCAGAAAGCCACGGCUAACUACGUGCCAGCAGCCGCGGUAAUACGUAGGUGGCAAGCGUUGUCCGGAAUUAUUGGGCGUAAAGGGCUCGCAGGCGGUUUCUUAAGUCUGAUGUGAAAGCCCCCGGCUCAACCGGGGAGGGUCAUUGGAAACUGGGAAACUUGAGUGCAGAAGAGGAGAGUGGAAUUCCACGUGUAGCGGUGAAAUGCGUAGAGAUGUGGAGGAACACCAGUGGCGAAGGCGACUCUCUGGUCUGUAACUGACGCUGAGGAGCGAAAGCGUGGGGAGCGAACAGGAUUAGAUACCCUGGUAGUCCACGCCGUAAACGAUGAGUGCUAAGUGUUAGGGGUUUCCGCCCCUUAGUGCUGCAGCUAACGCAUUAAGCACUCCGCCUGGGGAGUACGGUCGCAAGACUGAAACUCAAGAAUUGACGGGGGCCCGCACAAGCGGUGGAGCAUGUGGUUUAAUUCGA
RNAcentral lists this ribosomal RNA (921 nucleotides) under Bacillus safensis. Its description in RNAcentral is "bacterial SSU rRNA". It matches the Rfam family "Bacterial small subunit ribosomal RNA", at positions 45 to 954 of the family's 1533-position model. The record is from RNAcentral. Lineage: Bacteria; Bacillati; Bacillota; Bacilli; Caryophanales; Bacillaceae.